GGAUGCGAUCAUACCAGCACUAAAGCACCGGAUCCCAUCAGAACUCCGAAGUUAAGCGUGCUUGGGCGAGAGUAGUACUAGGAUGGGUGACCUCCUGGGAAGUCCUCAUGCUGCAUUCC
RNAcentral lists this ribosomal RNA (119 nucleotides) under Aegilops tauschii subsp. strangulata. Lineage: Eukaryota; Viridiplantae; Streptophyta; Magnoliopsida; Poales; Poaceae. The record is from RNAcentral.